AGAAUCAACGCUGGCGGCGUGCCUAACACAUGCAAGUCGAACGAGAAAGUGGAGCAAUCCAUGAGUAAAGUGGCGCACGGGUGAGUAACACGUGACUAACCUACCUUUUAGUGGGGGAUAACCUAGGGAAACCUGGGCUAAUACCGCAUAACACCUACGGGUCAAAGCAGCAAUGCUCUGAAAGAGGGGGUCGCGGUCGAUUAGUUAGUUGGCAGGGUAAUGGCCUACCAAGACUGUGAUCGAUAUCCGGCCUGAGAGGGCGCACGGACACACUGGAACUGAAACACGGUCCAGACUCCUACGGGAGGCAGCAGUGGGGAAUUUUGCGCAAUGGGGGAAACCCUGACGCAGCAACGCCGCGUGGAGGAUGAAGUCCCUUGGGACGUAAACUCCUUUCGAUCGGGACGAUAAUGACGGUACCGGAAGAAGAGCCCGGCUAACUUCGCGCCAGCAGCCGC
This 458-nucleotide ribosomal RNA is filed under the name uncultured bacterium. Its description in RNAcentral is "SSU rRNA". It matches the Rfam family "Bacterial small subunit ribosomal RNA", at positions 26 to 518 of the family's 1533-position model. The record is from RNAcentral.